Molecule: long non-coding RNA, 1558 nt
Filed under: Oryctolagus cuniculus (rabbit)
Lineage: Eukaryota; Metazoa; Chordata; Mammalia; Lagomorpha; Leporidae
Description: lncRNA (ENSOCUG00000038363.1)
Source: RNAcentral
AUGGGGAGGCCCUGCUGGAGCAGCCGCGGUGCCCCUCUCGAGGCUGUCGCCCACAUCCACGUGCUGCCAACACCCACGCGGAGUCCUCCAGCGGCAGAAAGCUGUGUGUCUUCGAGUUUGUCCUGCCGUUCCGUGCCCAAUGCAGACUCAGCGGGGGCCAGUCGGGGAGAGACUUCGCUGGGGGCCCCAGGGAAGCCGGCAGCCAGAGCCUCGGGGGAUUUCCCAUUAUGUGCCAAGAAUGUGAACCAUGCGUCCCCAGUGUGUUCGGUUCCCACAGAAUCCCCUCGCCUGGCCGGCACCGGGCCCCGCGGCUCCACAGGGCCGCAGGCGCGGUGGCAUCUCCGCGCGCUCACGGAACACCUCCCUGGCCCCGGGCUGUGUCGCCCACCCCAGCGGUCUGCGCCAUCGCCCCGAGGCCGGGUCCCACCACGCUGGCCGCCAGGUCAGCACCUCCCACUGGCUCCCACCACAGCGAGCAUAACACACAAGGCCCCCCAGCGUCUUGGAGACCCCCCAAACCUAAGCCCCCUCGCCGGCGCGCAGCCAGCCCGCCCCUGAUGCCUAGGCGGUGGAAAAAGGCAGAGCGAGGGCACGGAGGCAGCCAUGGCAGACUGGCCAGCCUCCGCUAGGGGUUCUGGGUAAAAAUUGCGAUGGACGGAAGUUGGGGUGGAGAGGGGCGUGUUCAGCUCCCGUGCAGGUCCCUGGUUGGUCCACGGUGCCCCUGGCCCUCCUUUGAUUGGUCGGCGUUCUGUCGGGACUUCUCAACGCUGACCUACUGGGUGGUGGCUCUCUGCUCAGGGCCACACCCCUCAAGGCCUGAAUAUCCUCCAGGUGACCUUGAGGGUCUUGAGGUCAGGGUCCUCGUGGGUCCAGCCGCACCCCCUCUCAUUCGUGAACUUUAGUACAGGCGGGGCAAGGGAGGCAGGCGUCUGCGGGAGCCCGGGCACAAUGGCGUCUCACCCCGAGGGGCACGGUUUCUUCUACAAGAUCCAACAGGUGGCCGCCUGCACCCCCAAACCGGCCCCCAGCACUCAGCUCCAGCCGCGUCGGCCUCGGGCCUUGGCGUCUGCCCCCUUCUCUGCCUGUCGCCGUCCUCCGCCACACCUCCCGGCUGACUCCUUGUCACUCAGGGUGGUGCCCGCCGCCGCAUCCUCACAGCUCAGCUAGGAAUCAAAUUCCAAAUGCUCACAGAAAAAUGGUCCAAGAGGCGCCUACUUUGGCACAAAAAAUGUUACCAUCCACGCCCACGACGUGCCUUCCGACAGUUCAGGAAAAUGUGCAUUAUAGAUUGCAGAUUGUUGGCACCGAAACAAGCUUUAUUUUCUAAAAACGAUUUAUUUUUUAUUUAUUUGUAGAGAGAAGGAAGACAGAGAGAGAUUUUCCAUCAGCUGGUGUGCUUCCCAAAUGGCCACAACAGCCAGGGCUGGGCCAGCCUGAAGCCAGGAGCCAGGAGCUUCUUCCACGUCUCCCAUGCGGGUGCAGGGGCCCAAGCACUUGGACCAUUUUCCACUGCUUUCCCAGGCCAUAACAGGGAGCUGGAUCAGAAGUGGAGCAGCCG